RNAcentral lists this ribosomal RNA (440 nucleotides) under uncultured bacterium. RNAcentral describes it as "partial 16S ribosomal RNA". It matches the Rfam family "Bacterial small subunit ribosomal RNA", at positions 338 to 795 of the family's 1533-position model. The record is from RNAcentral.
CCUACGGGGGGCAGCAGUAGGGAAUAUUGCUCAAUGGGGGAAACCCUGAAGCAGCAACGCCGCGUGGAGGAUGAAGGUUUUCGGAUUGUAAACUCCUUUUGUUAGAGAAGAUAAUGACGGUAUCUAACGAAUAAGCACCGGCUAACUCCGUGCCAGCAGCCGCGGUAAUACGGAGGGUGCAAGCGUUACUCGGAAUCACUGGGCGUAAAGAGCGCGUAGGCGGGAUAGUAAGUCAGAUGUGAAAUCCUAUGGCUUAACCAUAGAACUGCAUUUGAAACUGUUAUUCUAGAGUGUGGGAGAGGUAGGUGGAAUUCUUGGUGUAGGGGUAAAAUCCGUAGAGAUCAAGAGGAAUACUCAUUGCGAAGGCGACCUGCUAGAACAUAACUGACGCUGAUGCGCGAAAGCGUGGGGAGCAAACAGGAUUAGAUACCCCGGUAGUC